AUUUGCUUCUCUAUUUAAUUCAUCUCCUGUUGUGUUUCUUUCUUGCUGUCAUCUGAUGUUUGUAUUCUAUCCACAUAUCUUCCAGGUUACUGUCUAAAGUCUAUGCAGAAUGAAAGAAAAUUCUGACUAACUGCUGAGUGGGCCCUUCAGCUCAAAUUAAAUCACCCUGUGGUAUCAGAAAGAACCAAUUCUAAAGAGCAUCUAGAAUGUGUGACUUCCUAUUUUCUCCUUUUUCCAGCUGAACUGAAAUGUAUUGAACCAGAACCCUUACUGAGGAGUCAGAACCCAAGGAUGGUGAGAAUGGGUGGGUCGAUGCACUGUGCCAGCUGAAGCUAGGAAUACUCAGAGCUCCCUAAAAGC
Molecule: long non-coding RNA, 360 nt
Filed under: Anser brachyrhynchus (Pink-footed goose)
Lineage: Eukaryota; Metazoa; Chordata; Aves; Anseriformes; Anatidae
Description: lncRNA (ENSABRG00000001664.1)
Source: RNAcentral